Non-coding RNA from Ictidomys tridecemlineatus (thirteen-lined ground squirrel), 72 nucleotides. The record is from Rfam. Lineage: Eukaryota; Metazoa; Chordata; Mammalia; Rodentia; Sciuridae.
UGGGUUGUGGCUCAGUGGUAGAGCACUUGCCAAGCACACGAGAGGCCCUGGGUUCAAACCUCAGCACCACAU